UACGGGAGGCAGCAGUGGGGAAUAUUGGGCAAUGGACGAGAGUCUGAACCAGCCAAGUAGCGUGCAGGAUGACGGCCCUAUGGGUUGUAAACUGCUUUUAUACAGGGAUAAAGUAGGGAACGUGUUCCCUUUUGCAGGUACUGUAUGAAUAAGGACCGGCUAAUUCCGUGCCAGCAGCCGCGGUAAU
This 187-nucleotide ribosomal RNA is filed under the name uncultured rumen bacterium. RNAcentral describes it as "partial 16S ribosomal RNA". It matches the Rfam family "Bacterial small subunit ribosomal RNA", at positions 340 to 524 of the family's 1533-position model. The record is from RNAcentral.